This is a non-coding RNA of Arvicanthis niloticus (Nile rat), 1163 nucleotides long. NCBI's taxonomy places the organism in Eukaryota, Metazoa, Chordata, Mammalia, Rodentia, Muridae. The record is from the annotation of a RefSeq genome assembly.
CCUGCUCUCAGAAUUGAUGCAGAUGCCUGGAGCCAGUGGCUGGCUCUCUGCUCUCCCUCUCAGUCUGCCACACCAGGAAGCUCAUUUUGAACCACGCAAGAAUCUUCCUCCCAUUCUACUUCUCAUAUUUGGCCAGGUGGAGGCCCCUGCGAAGCAGAUCUCCUUGUCUCUCUUCUAACUAAUGCUCAAAGUCGCAGACGAUCCCUCUGCACUAUGAGCAAACAGGCUUUCUGCUUGGUAGCCCUUUGUCUCCUUGUAGUAGGAACCACACAUGGUGGCAUCAUUACUCAGACCCCAAAAUUUGUGAUUGGCCAGGAAGGGCAAGAACUGACCAUGAAAUGUGAACAGAAUUUCAAUCAUGAUUCAAUGUACUGGUACCGACAGGAUCCAGAGAAAGGAUUGGGACUGAUCUACUAUUCAAUAAUUGAAAGUGAUCUUCAAAAAGGCGACCUAUCUGAAGGCUAUGAUGCCUCUAGAAAGACGAAGUCAACUUUUUCUCUCACUGUGACAUCUGCCCAGAAGAACCAGAUGGCUGUUUAUCUCUGUGCCAGCAGCUUAGCACAAGAAUAUGCCCAGUAUUUUGGAGAGGGUACUCGGCUCACUGUUCUAGAGGACCUGACCAAGGUGACUCCACCCAAGGUCUCCUUGUUUGAGCCAUCAGAAGCAGAGAUCACAGACAAACAAAAGGCUACCCUCGUGUGCUUGGCCAGGGGCUUCUUCCCUGACCACGUGGAGCUGACCUGGUGGGUUAAUGGGAAGAAGAUCGACAGUGGGGUCAGCACAGACCCUGAAGCCUCCCAGGAGAGCAAUGGCAUCACCUAUUGCCUGAGCAGCCGCCUGAGGAUUUCUGCUAGCUUCUGGCACAAUCCUCGCAAUCACUUCCGCUGCCAGGUGCAGUUCUAUGGGCUUACAGAAGAGGACACCUGGACAGAGAGCUCACCCAAACCUGUCACACAGAACAUUAGUGCAGAGACCUGGGGCAGAGCAGAUUGUGGGAUUACUUCAGUAUCCUAUCAUCAAGGGGUCCUGUCUGCCACCAUCCUUUAUGAGAUCCUGCUAGGGAAAGCCACCCUGUAUGCUGUGCUUGUCAGUACACUGGUAGUGAUGGCUAUGGUCAAAAGAAAGAGUUCCUGAAGCCAGACAUGAAGAUGAAUCCAAGACCU